Molecule: ribosomal RNA, 485 nt
Filed under: uncultured bacterium
Lineage: Bacteria
Description: partial 16S ribosomal RNA
Rfam family: Bacterial small subunit ribosomal RNA
Source: RNAcentral
GAUGAACGCUGGCGGCGUGCUUAACACAUGCAAGUCGAACGGUGAAGCAGGAGCUUGCUCUUGUGGAUCAGUGGCGAACGGGUGAGUAACACGUGAGCAACCUGCCCCAGACUCUGGGAUAAGCGCUGGAAACGGCGUCUAAUACCGGAUACGCACCAGAACCGCAUGGUUACUGGUGGGAAAGAUUUUUUGGUCUGGGAUGGGCUCGCGGCCUAUCAGCUUGUUGGUGAGGUAAUGGCUCACCAAGGCGUCGACGGGUAGCCGGCCUGAGAGGGUGACCGGCCACACUGGGACUGAGACACGGCCCAGACUCCUACGGGAGGCAGCAGUGGGGAAUAUUGCACAAUGGGCGGAAGCCUGAUGCAGCAACGCCGCGUGAGGGAUGACGGCCUUCGGGUUGUAAACCUCUUUUAGCAGGGAAGAAGCGAGAGUGACGGUACCUGCAGAAAAAGCGCCGGCUAACUACGUGCCAGCCGCCGCGGUAA